Long non-coding RNA from Helianthus annuus (common sunflower), 1844 nucleotides. RefSeq lists it as uncharacterized. The record is from RefSeq and is a predicted model, not a curated record. The transcript is spliced from 3 exons. NCBI's taxonomy places the organism in Eukaryota, Viridiplantae, Streptophyta, Magnoliopsida, Asterales, Asteraceae.
AGGUGUUUUCUCUCGAUCUUUCUAUCUAUGAUUAUUCAACCCUAAAUCAUGGAAGCGAUUAUUCAACCCUAAAUCAUAACCAGAUGAUCUGGAUCAGGUUACAUAGAAAUGAGCUUAUAUAUCAAGUUACAGGUUUUGGUAUGUUUCUUCAACCCUAAAUCAAUGAUAAAUUUAUCAUUGAUUCUGCUGGUACCAUCAAUUAUCAUGAGGUUUGUGGGUGAUUGCAUCAUGGGUUUUCUUUAUUUGUUCUUGAUUUUGGAAUUUAAUUUACUUUUGUUGGGUUUGUUAUCUUUGUUUGGGUAGAAAAGUUAUUAUUUUUAGAAGAAUGUAAGAGUACACAUUUGUGAUUUGAGCAAUUUCAGCAACUCUAUGAAGUGUUUGCAUGUCUUAAUUAGAUUAUAGUUGGAAAAUUAUUCUUUAGGUUAUGAUUAUCUGGUGCUUGAAUUUUAUGUAUAAUGUAAUUGGAUUUUUGCCAAACAUUCAACACCAUUAUAAGUGAUAGUCAUUCGAUUAUGAUUAUAUGUCUGAGAUAUAAUUACGUUAAAUGGUUGCAUAUGUGAUAGCACACAGGUUGAUUGCAACUUCUUUAUAAAUAUACACGUUGCCACCCAUAUUCCUGGACGGACCACAAACUAAAAUCAAGGUUCAAAAGUAUUAUAUUUGUUUUUUUUAGUAUCAAACUAAUUUUUUUUUCAUUUCAAUAUGAUUUUGACAUAGUAGCGGGGUCAAACUCAAGCAGCAGCGGUGCUGGUUCAGUUAGAUUCAAAGACAGCUAACUAUCGUUAUCUGUCCGACAGCAGCAGCGUCGACCAUGCAUUUUGGUUCAGUCAAGGCAGCCUAGAGGGGUUAGGGGUGGUAAGAGACGACGGCGGCUGGAAGUUUUAAGAUUCUAACGAAGUCCGGCUAACUCUGACGAGAACCUGGUGACCUGAACAAGUUUGGGCUGUGAUUCCGACAACAUCGAUCUGAAAAAGGAUUUGAAUCAGGUACCUUUGACAUAACACAUAUGUUUUGCCGGCGAUUGUUAAUUGUUUUGAUAUUUUCCGUUGUGUAUUCAUCUAAGUUAUUGGACGGUUCAGAUCUUAGUUUGGCAACAAUGUGAACUUUUGGGAUGGUUUUGUGGAGGUAUGUUCUAAUAUUUUACAAAUAUUAAGGGUAAGAAUGUGAUAGUAGGUCCUGUGUACUUGAUGGCAAUAUAAAGUAUUGUAAAGAAACCAUGUGAUUUAUUUGUUACUGGUUGUUUCGUGUUAAGUUCAGUUAGAUUCAUUUUGUUAUGAAGCAAGAGUAUUAACAUGACUAAUGACUCUGGUAGUUCAAAUAGUGCAUAACACAUUUGAACUUGCAUUUUUCUUAUUUGUUAAGUUGCUUUCUUUACCAUGAAACGAGCUUCAAUUCAACCAGAAUUCAUGUAUAAGUUUUUAUUUUUGUGUUACACUAUUACCAUUUUAUUCGAAUCUGAGUUUGAUACUCUCCUGGAAGGCCUUAUCUGCAAUGGCAUAUCUUGACAACAUUCAUUGACAUUAAUGGUAUUGCUUAAUGCCAAUAGAAUCCUCUUGCAUUAUGUGCAAGUGGAUACUAUGAUGGCACCAUUUUCACAGAAACAUAAAGGGAUUUAUGAUCGAAGGCGGAGAUCUUACCGGGACAGGCAAAGGAGAGGGACAAGUAUUUGGGACGAAAACUUUAAUGAUGAGAUACACGAGUCUCUAGAGGUGAAAUUUGAUUUAUCAUUAUAUAAAUAUGCCUAUUACUUAAAGCGUGUGGGUUUUUAUUAUUCAUUUGGUUGAUGGUUGCUUUAGUUUUUUAGCACAAUGCCAGAGGUGUGCUAUCAAUGGCAUAUGCCUAUU